Molecule: ribosomal RNA, 253 nt
Filed under: uncultured bacterium
Lineage: Bacteria
Description: partial 16S ribosomal RNA
Rfam family: Bacterial small subunit ribosomal RNA
Source: RNAcentral
UACGGAGGAUCCAAGCGUUAUCCGGAUUCAUUGGGUUUAAAGGGUGCGUAGGCGGAAUGAUAAGUCAGUGGUGAAAUCCUGCAGCUUAACUGCAGAACUGCCAUUGAUACUGUCAAUCUUGAGUACAUUUGAUGUGGGCGGAAUGUGUCAUGUAGCGGUGAAAUGCUUAGAUAUGACACAGAACACCGAUUGCGAAGGCAGCUCACAAAACUGUAACUGACGCUGAGGCACGAAAGCAUGGGUAUCAAACAGG